Molecule: ribosomal RNA, 124 nt
Filed under: Flavobacterium columnare
Lineage: Bacteria; Pseudomonadati; Bacteroidota; Flavobacteriia; Flavobacteriales; Flavobacteriaceae
Description: partial 16S ribosomal RNA
Rfam family: Bacterial small subunit ribosomal RNA
Source: RNAcentral
UCUUGUACACCCGCCCGUCAAGCCAUGGAAGCUGGGGGUACCUGAAGUCGGUGACCGCAAGGAGCUGCCUAGGGUAAAACUGGUAACUAGGGCUAAGUCGUAACAAGGUAGCCGUACCGGAAGG